AAAUCAUCUGGGAAUCUUGUUAAAAUGCAGACUCUGAUUCAGGAGGUCUGGAGAGUCUGCAUGUCUAACAUGCUUCCAAGAGGACACUGAUGCUGCU
This 97-nucleotide microRNA precursor is filed under the name Otolemur garnettii (small-eared galago). Its description in RNAcentral is "miRNA (ENSOGAG00000027607.1)". Lineage: Eukaryota; Metazoa; Chordata; Mammalia; Primates; Galagidae. The record is from RNAcentral.